Molecule: ribosomal RNA, 492 nt
Filed under: uncultured bacterium
Lineage: Bacteria
Description: partial 16S ribosomal RNA
Rfam family: Bacterial small subunit ribosomal RNA
Source: RNAcentral
AGUGAACGCUGGCGGUAGGCCUAACACAUGCAAGUCGAACGGCAGCACAGUAAGAGCUUGCUCUUACGGGUGGCGAGUGGCGGACGGGUGAGGAAUACAUCGGAAUCUACUUUUUCGUGGGGGAUAACGUAGGGAAACUUACGCUAAUACCGCAUACGACCUACGGGUGAAAGCAGGGGAUCUUCGGACCUUGCGCGAUUGAAUGAGCCGAUGUCGGAUUAGCUAGUUGGCGGGGUAAAGGCCCACCAAGGCGACGAUCCGUAGCUGGUCUGAGGGGAUGAUCAGCCACACUGGAACUGAGACACGGUCCAGACUCCUACGGGAGGCAGCAGUGGGGAAUAUUGGACAAUGGGCGCAAGCCUGAUCCAGCCAUACCGCGUGGGUGAAGAAGGCCUUCGGGUUGUAAAGCCCUUUUGUUGGGAAAGAAAAGCGGCAGGUUAAUACCCCGCUGUUCUGACGGUACCCAAAGAAUAAGCACCGGCUAACUUCGUG